RNAcentral lists this ribosomal RNA (259 nucleotides) under uncultured prokaryote. RNAcentral describes it as "partial 16S ribosomal RNA". It matches the Rfam family "Bacterial small subunit ribosomal RNA", at positions 524 to 782 of the family's 1533-position model. The record is from RNAcentral.
UACGUAGGGUGCAAGCGUUGUCCGGAAUUACUGGGCGUAAAGAGCUCGUAGGUGGUUUGUCGCGUCGUCUGUGAAAUCCCGGGGCUUAACUUCGGGCGUGCAGGCGAUACGGGCAUAACUUGAGUGCUGUAGGGGAGACUGGAAUUCCUGGUGUAGCGGUGAAAUGCGCAGAUAUCAGGAGGAACACCGAUGGCGAAGGCAGGUCUCUGGGCAGUUACUGACGCUGAGGAGCGAAAGCAUGGCAGCGAACAGGAUUAGA